This 468-nucleotide ribosomal RNA is filed under the name uncultured bacterium. Its description in RNAcentral is "partial 16S ribosomal RNA". It matches the Rfam family "Bacterial small subunit ribosomal RNA", at positions 28 to 507 of the family's 1533-position model. The record is from RNAcentral.
GACGAACGCUGGCGGCGUGCUUAACACAUGCAAGUCGAACGGAAAGGCCCUGCUUUUGUGGGGUGCUCGAGUGGCGAACGGGUGAGUAACACGUGAGUAACCUGCCCUUGACUUUGGGAUAACUUCAGGAAACUGGGGCUAAUACCGGAUAGGAGCUCCUGCUGCAUGGUGGGGGUUGGAAAGUUUCGGCGGUUGGGGAUGGACUCGCGGCUUAUCAGCUUGUUGGUGGGGUAGUGGCUUACCAAGGCUUUGACGGGUAGCCGGCCUGAGAGGGUGACCGGCCCACUUGGGACUGGGGUACGGCCCAGGCUCCUACGGGGGGCAAGCGGGGGGGAUAAUUGACCAAGGGCGGAAGCCUGAUGCAGCAACGCCGCGUGCGGGAUGACGGCCUUCGGGUUGUAAACCGCUUUCGCCUGUGACGAAGCGUGAGUGACGGUAAUGGGUAAAGAAGCACCGGCUAACUACGUG